AGCCCCUAUGUCGGCUUAGCUCAUCCACAUGAAUGCAGAAAUCAUGAAGGGUACGACUGUUCGUCGAUUAAAGAGCUACACGAGCUGGGUUAAAUACGUCGUGAGACAGUAUGGUUUCUAUCUUCUAG
This 128-nucleotide ribosomal RNA is filed under the name Thalassionema nitzschioides. RNAcentral's name for it is "partial Bacterial large subunit ribosomal RNA". It matches the Rfam family "Bacterial large subunit ribosomal RNA", at positions 2522 to 2646 of the family's 2925-position model. Lineage: Eukaryota; Bacillariophyta; Fragilariophyceae; Thalassionematales; Thalassionemataceae. The record is from RNAcentral.